AAUGACAACUUGACGAGAUCUUGACACGCACGUUGGAAGUGUACGCGUGUUUGCACCUCGAUGAGCGUUGCACAAUAACAAAGCUCCGUUGGUGAGCGUAUUGAUUAAUAAAGCUAGGUGAAGUCCUUGAGUGCCUCAAGGACUUUGUUUUGUUUUAGCAGUAUUUUUUCCUUCAACAAUUAAUCUUGCAUCUCCAACCGUGGAAUGAGUUACAUGUGACUCGAGACAAACAAACAGUGCAAUUGCAACAAUAUAAUUAGUCAGCGAUAUAAAUUUGCCAUAUCUUCAUGCCAACCACAAGGAUUCUGCUUUUGCACACACCUUCAUUAUUAAUGUGUUUCUUCAGGUAUGGUCACUAUCAGCAGCUUUACACACAGUGUGCAUCGUGAAUACAUCAAUCCCAGAGAAAACAUUCCAAUGGAAAAUAUUGAGAAUUUCUGCCCUUCUAUCCUGAACUAAACAAUGCUGAGAUGAGUCAUCCGCUCCUUGGACAACGCUGCGAUCGUGGUGAAGAAAUUAUCGGGAG
This 526-nucleotide long non-coding RNA is filed under the name Daphnia magna. RNAcentral describes it as "uncharacterized LOC123475503, transcript variant X3". Lineage: Eukaryota; Metazoa; Arthropoda; Branchiopoda; Diplostraca; Daphniidae. The record is from RNAcentral.